CCUACGGGAGGCAGCAGUGGGGAAUAUUGCGCAAUGGGCGAAAGCCUGACGCAGCGACGCCGCGUGAGGGAUGAAGGUCUUCGGAUCGUAAACCUCUGUCAGCAGGGAAGAACGGUCACUGUGCUAAUCAGCAGUGAAUUGACGGUACCUGCAAAGGAAGCACCGGCUAACUCCGUGCCAGCAGCCGCGGUAAUACGGAGGGUGCGAGCGUUAAUCGGAAUUACUGGGCGUAAAGCGCUCGUAGGCGGUAUGUCAAGUCAAGGGUGAAAUCCCCGCGCUCAACGUGGGAACUGCCUUUGAAACGGGCAAACUGGAGUGUGUGAGAGGUUAGUGGAAUUCCAGGUGUAGGAGUGAAAUGCGUAGAUAUCUGGAGGAACAUCAGUGGCGAAGGCGACUAUCUGGCACAUAACUGACGCUGAGGAGCGAAAGCGUGGGUAGCAAACAGGAUUAGAUACCCUUGUAGUC
RNAcentral lists this ribosomal RNA (465 nucleotides) under uncultured bacterium. RNAcentral describes it as "partial 16S ribosomal RNA". It matches the Rfam family "Bacterial small subunit ribosomal RNA", at positions 338 to 795 of the family's 1533-position model. The record is from RNAcentral.